RNAcentral lists this long non-coding RNA (234 nucleotides) under Lathyrus oleraceus (garden pea). RNAcentral's name for it is "Pisum sativum (pea) long non-coding RNA (PSAT_LNC041662)". Lineage: Eukaryota; Viridiplantae; Streptophyta; Magnoliopsida; Fabales; Fabaceae. The record is from RNAcentral.
GUCUCGCAACCAAAUCUUGGGUUCGGGAGUCGGUUAUGCGAAGGGAAGGUAUUAGCACCCCUACGCAUCCGUAGUACUCUACGGGAUCCACUUUUGUAGUUUCGUCUAAAGGGUGUGGGUUUAUCUUAUGCUGUUUGCCAAAAAAAACAAAAAAUGGUUAAAUGAAAAUGACUCGCGCGGAUGUUGCAUCCACUGCAUACGUAUCUCAUCUGAAUAUGAGAAUCAGAGUCUUCG